AACGAACGCUGGCGGCAGGCUUAACACAUGCAAGUCGAACGGUUGUAGCAAUACAGCAGUGGCAGACGGGUGAGUAACACGUGGGAACCUUCCUAGGGGUACGUAACAACUCAGGGAAACUUGAGCUAAUACCGUAUACGUCCGUGAGGAGAAAGAUUUAUCGCCCUUAGACGGGCCCGCGUCGGAUUAGCUAGUUGGUGGGGUAACGGCCUACCAAGGCGACGAUCCGUAGCUGAUCUUAGAGGAUGAUCAGCCACACUGGGACUGAGACACGGCCCAAACUCCUACGGGAGGCAGCAGUGGGGAAUCUUGGACAAUGGGCGCAAGCCUGAUCCAGCCAUGCCGCGUGAGUGAAGAAGGUCUUCGGAUUGUAAAGCUCUUUUGCCAGGGACGAUAAUGACGGUACCUGGAGAAUAAGCCCCGGCUAACUCUGUGCCAGCCGCCGCAGUAA
RNAcentral lists this ribosomal RNA (451 nucleotides) under uncultured bacterium. RNAcentral describes it as "partial 16S ribosomal RNA". It matches the Rfam family "Bacterial small subunit ribosomal RNA", at positions 29 to 523 of the family's 1533-position model. The record is from RNAcentral.